CAAGACCAGCCUGGGCAGCAAAUGUUACGUGGCUGCAUGACCAUACACUUCUGGGUAGAGCCCAGUGGAAGACAAAGAAGACUCAAGGAAUAGCCCUUGAGGGCUCAGGAGCUAUACAGAUGGGAUAGAGGGUGUGAGUGCUGGGAAGCCCCAUCCAUGGCUCGCUGGAGAUUAGAGGCCUGUUAAUCUGAAGACAAAGGAAUGAAGACGAAAACGUUUCUGAAAAUGUGGGUGGAGACACCUGGGC
This 247-nucleotide long non-coding RNA is filed under the name Homo sapiens (human). Its description in RNAcentral is "non-protein coding lnc-PGS1-1:3". Lineage: Eukaryota; Metazoa; Chordata; Mammalia; Primates; Hominidae. The record is from RNAcentral.